AAGACUAUAGACCUGCGGAGUACCUGCGGAAGGAUCAUUACAAGUGACCCCGGUCUAACCACCGGGAUGUUCAUAACCCUUUGUUGUCCGACUCUGUUGCCUCCGGGGCGACCCUGCCUUCGGGCGGGGGCUCCGGGUGGACACUUCAAACUCUUGCGUAACUUUGCAGUCUGAGUAAACUUAAUUAAUAAAUUAAAACUUUUAGCAAUGGAUCUCU
Molecule: unclassified non-coding RNA, 217 nt
Filed under: soil metagenome
Description: partial contains 5.8S ribosomal RNA, internal transcribed spacer 2, and large subunit ribosomal RNA
Source: RNAcentral